Sardina pilchardus (European sardine) is the source of this 250-nucleotide long non-coding RNA. RefSeq lists it as uncharacterized. Lineage: Eukaryota; Metazoa; Chordata; Actinopteri; Clupeiformes; Clupeidae. The record is from RefSeq and is a predicted model, not a curated record. The transcript has 3 exons.
CUCUCAUCACUCUACCAUCUCAGUCAAUUAGAAACUGGACAGCACACAGCAUGGAGCUCUCUUCUCUGGGCCUGCUGCUCGUGCUGAUCUUGUGUUCCUACUCUGGACAUGCUGCAGAUCCUACAGUAACUGUGUAUCCCUAUCCUCCUCUCUAUCCUGGAGAGAGGGUCACUCUAAGGUGUGAUAUUUCAGGGUACACAGACUGGGUUCAGUACGUCUGGUACAAAGACAAUAAUCAGUUUAAUCACAA